UUAGAGAUUUCAGGUUGUAAAAACCUUACAUGUCUUCCAGACAACAUGGGUUCUCUUAAAUCCCUUACAUAUUUAAAGAUUUUAAGAUGUAAAAACCUUACAUGUCUUCCAAACAGCAUGGGUUCUCUUAAAUCCCUUACAUAUUUAAAGAUUUUAAGAUGUAAAAACCUUACAUGUCUUCCAAACAGCAUGUGUUCUCUUAAAUCCCUUACAUAUUUAGAGAUUAAAUUUUGUAAAAACCUUACAUGUCUUCCAAACAACAUGGGUUCUUUUAAAUCCCUUACACAUUUAGUGAUUUAUUAUUGUCCAAAUCUCACCUCUCUUCCCAACGACAUGGGUUCUCUUAAAUCCCUUACACAUUUAAAGAUUUCAUCUUGUAAAAAGCUCACAUGUCUUCCAAACAACAUGGGUUCUCUUAAAUCCCUUAUACAUUUACAGAUUUCAUAUUGUGAAAACCUUUCAUGUCUUCCAAACAACAUGGGUUCUCUUAAAUCCCUUACACAUUUAGAAAUUUCAAAUUGUAAAAACCUUACAUGUCUUCCAAACAACAUGGGUUCUCUUAAAUCCCUUACACAUUUAGAGAUUUCAAAUUGUUAAAACCUCAUAUGUCUUCCAAACAAUAUGGGUUCUCUUAAAUCCCUUACACAUUUAGAGAUUUCAUUUUGUGAAAAC
Molecule: long non-coding RNA, 672 nt
Filed under: Zostera marina
Lineage: Eukaryota; Viridiplantae; Streptophyta; Magnoliopsida; Alismatales; Zosteraceae
Description: long non-coding RNA (ZMAR_LNC005828)
Source: RNAcentral